This 465-nucleotide ribosomal RNA is filed under the name Vreelandella stevensii. RNAcentral's name for it is "partial 16S ribosomal RNA". It matches the Rfam family "Bacterial small subunit ribosomal RNA", at positions 338 to 795 of the family's 1533-position model. The record is from RNAcentral. Lineage: Bacteria; Pseudomonadati; Pseudomonadota; Gammaproteobacteria; Oceanospirillales; Halomonadaceae.
CCUACGGGCGGCAGCAGUGGGGAAUAUUGGACAAUGGGCGAAAGCCUGAUCCAGCCAUGCCGCGUGUGUGAAGAAGGCCUUCGGGUUGUAAAGCACUUUCAGUGGGGAAGAAAGCCUUGGGGCUAAUACCCUCGAGGAAGGACAUCACCCACAGAAGAAGCACCGGCUAACUCCGUGCCAGCAGCCGCGGUAAUACGGAGGGUGCGAGCGUUAAUCGGAAUUACUGGGCGUAAAGCGCGCGUAGGCGGUCUGAUAAGCCGGUUGUGAAAGCCCCGGGCUCAACCUGGGAACGGCAUCCGGAACUGUCAGGCUAGAGGGCAGGAGAGGAAGGUAGAAUUCCCGGUGUAGCGGGGAAAUGCGUAGAGAUCGGGAGGAAUACCAGUGGCGAAGGCGGCCUUCUGGACUGACACUGACGCUGAGGUGCGAAAGCGUGGGUAGCAAACAGGAAUAGAUACCCGAGUAGUC